RNAcentral lists this long non-coding RNA (1556 nucleotides) under Medicago truncatula (barrel medic). RNAcentral describes it as "long non-coding RNA (MTRU_LNC000403)". Lineage: Eukaryota; Viridiplantae; Streptophyta; Magnoliopsida; Fabales; Fabaceae. The record is from RNAcentral.
GAAUGUACAUUCAACACUCUCUUAUAUGCAUUAUCAUUUCAAUCUAUAAUAAUAAUAAUAAUCAAAGACCGAUCAUUGUUCAAAUUCACUUUCAUUCUCCUACUUUCAUCUUGCUCUCUAGAUCUCUCAUAUUUGUGCUCUCAUCCUCUCUUUGUAAGUAAACAUGUUUCUUAUGGAUCUAUACUUAUUAUUUUUCGAUUGUGUUUGAUUAAUCAAUUUUUUGUUCCUUUUCUUUAGUGACUCUCUGAUGUGAACAUUUUGUUAAUUCAUGACACAAUCAAAUCUAAUCUGUGGCCAGUCGUGAUGACUAAACACACGCCAAAAGUUCCCCAAAUCAUGCAGAAAUCAAAUCUAUUUUCAUGAUCAUGAAGGGUGUUUUGCAAGAAGUGCAUCAAAGUUGCAAUAACUUCUUCACAUGGUAAAUGUCCAACAUGUGGGGAAAAGGUUAAAUCGAAACAACUAGUAAGGGUGUUUCUUCCAUCUUCCAACCGAAGGUAAUUUCAUAAUUUAUAAGUUGGUUUUAAAUAGUAUUGUGAUUUAAAUAAAUUUGUAUUACGACUAAAUUGAUAUUACCUAUUCAAAUAAUUAAUAAAUUGAUGCUCUAAACCUAAUACGAACAUAGCUUCGUUAAUAUUAAACAGUAUUAGAAUGUGUAUUAAUUUUCAAUAGAUUCUUGAAGUUCUUUUAUGUCAUGUAACUCCUUAUUUUCAAUAAGUAGUGUUAGAAAAAGUUUUUAUUACUAUAACUUUAUGUUGUUUCUCUUUUUCUAUACAACAGGAUCAUCCAAGCUUUGUUGAGGAAAGUGGGAAUGAAUAAUACUUCAUUAUGCUACCUUCAAGAUCGUUGAUGGGUUCUUUUAUUUUUAAAUGUUCAAUGUAGUAUAUGUGUAUUGUCAUAUGCAUCAGUUUUCAUAACUUGUAGCACUACUUAGAUAUGUUUGUUGGUACUUUGGAUGCACAAUACUUUUUUAAUAAUGCUGGUGUUUGUCUAUUUUGCUUCCUUAGAUUUUGUUCUACCCCCACCUCCCCCAUGUCAACAUAGUAGGGAUGUCUCUCAUGCCAUGUGAUGUUUUUGCAUUCUAUUUGCUUAAAAAAAUGUUCUUGGAUUUAAUUUGAUUCGUCUAUUCAAAUAAGAACAUAUCCUUUUUCUUUUAAGUGUAAUAUCUUUAACACCUACACUGGUUCUUCUUGAAAAUAAUGACUUUUAAAACUAACCAUUUAAGUGCAAUAUCUUGUAGUGUCUCUAUUAGAUCUUCUGUUUGAUUGCUUCUUUCUCCCUAUUUGGUUUCUUCCAUUUGAUUGCCUCUCUCUUUUAUGGUUUGAUUGUUUCUCUCUGUGUUGGUUUCUUCUAUCUUGGUUGCUUCUCUCUAAUGAUUCUUCUAUUUGGUUAGGAUUGAAAUUGUUUGAUUUGAUUUGACGUGGUUCUGUUUGGAUGGUUUUUCUCUUUGGCUGGAUAAUGUUGCCCUCUCUUUGAUGAUAACUCACGUUGGUUGCUACUCUCCGUUGAUUCUACUAUCAGUAGAUGCAGUUUAUUUUUUGGGUUAAUUUCUAACAAAC